UAGUCUAUCCCUACUUCCAUUUGGUUUGGUUCGUCCUACAUUUUCCACAGUCUUCAAAAACCCUGCCACCAGCUGGAGAUCAAGUGUGCGGACACAUGAGCCUAUGGGACACGUCACAUUCAAACAGUAACAGAUGGUUUCAGAUAUAGCAAGCACAACAUCAGCUAUAUUAAGUGGUUUAAAAAUGCAAAUUUUAGUGCCACUCCAGAGAUGGGAUUUGGUAGGUUGGGGACAGAGCCCAGGCAAGUCUGAGUCCUGUGAGGAAUCUCGGGUUUCUUAGUGUGGAGACCUGCAGGAUACCUGGAUCUCACGAGAGCUCCGCUCCAGCACUGCACUACAACACGACAACCGCCCACUUAGUUUCUUCCAGGAGAGAUGUAGUCAAACUUGUUGCAAGACCCAGCCCCGUUUGCAGAGCCAGGCUCAAAGUGGUGUCUCCAUGACCUAGGUUCCACGACCUCUCACUCCUGCUAAUUCAGAGACCAAGCUUCUGGCACAUGAACCUGGCACUGCUGUGACAUGGACUCGUUUACAGAGAAGGAAAGAGAAAGGACACUCUUCCCCAGGUCACAGAGCCGGGACUGCUGUGGCUUAGGACUGUGUGUGUACGUGAAUGUCUACACCAUUCACGCUGCUUCGACCAGGGCUGGGGAGCCUCGCGGUCAGCCAAGGCUGGGGAAUCUUCUUUAAAUUUCUGCAGACUGUUAAGGGCUAUGCGCAUCCUCAGAAUGUUAGCUGCUUUGUGGGACAGGUCAUAAUCUACCCUUCUAACUGGGGCUCAAAGCAGGCUGGUUUCCUCUUCGGCAGUCAGACAUUGACCUGGGUCUGCUAAUCUAAGACACAUCAGCAUUGGCCUAAUUUGUGGAAGAUGUGUCAGGGUCUGUUCCUGGCAGAAGUUUCAUCUCAAGACUGAUCAUCCGGGAGAAAGAAGCCUUCUCUAGGGCCAGCAAGCUCCCAGCGUGCCCUGGGGGCUGGUCCUCAGAGCCUGGCACAGUCCCAUGAUGAUUCAUUGGCUGAAUCUUCAACCUCCUUGGAACACCCACGUUUCGCUCAUGCAUGCGCAGACCUCUUCUCAUCAUCUAGACCGCAACAGGCACCCUGAACACAAAUGGCUAGCUCCCUAUGCUUAUGCUCCCCGCCUUUUGCAGCAUGGUCUCCCGAGGCUGGUCUUGGGUUUGCCCUGUUCUCAUCUCCUCCAUCGCCUCCCUCCCGCCCACUUUCCUCCCCAUCGCCUCCCUCCCUCGGGGCUGGAGUCGCAGGUGUGUGACAUCGCAUCUGACAGUUGCCCUGUGUUUUAAACACUGAGUGACUGCGUUUACAUCCUACCAAGGUCACUCAAACAUUUUCCACUCACAGCCCCUUUUCGAUCAAGACAUUUUUAUGCCCUCCCUGGCACAAAGAUGUAUAAGUAGGUAUACAAAACAAGCAUUUAUGGACAUCUCAUACUGAAAUUUAUUUUGAAAGAAUUCUUUGGUAGACAUACUUUUACAAUUUGGUAAAGACAUAGUAAAUUUACAUAGUGA
This is a long non-coding RNA of Mesocricetus auratus (golden hamster), 1523 nucleotides long. RefSeq lists it as uncharacterized. The record is from RefSeq and is a predicted model, not a curated record. Lineage: Eukaryota; Metazoa; Chordata; Mammalia; Rodentia; Cricetidae. The transcript is spliced from 3 exons.